CGGGGAUUAACUGAGGGGCAGCAGCCGCGGUAAUAUUUUAGUGGCCAGCGUUAUCGAGAAAUUAUUGGGCGUAAGGGGUUCGGGGGCCGUUUUUAUAUGUGUGAUGUGAAAGCCCCGGGCUCAACCGGGGAGGGUCAUUGGAAACUGGGGAACUUGAGUGCAGAAGAGGAGAGUGGAAUUCCACGAGUAGCGGUGAAAUGUGUAGAGAUGUGGAGGAACACCAGUGGAGACGGCGACUCUCUGGUCGGUAACUGACGUUGAGGAGCGAAAGCGUGGGGAGCGAACAGGAUUAGAUACCGUGGUAGUCCACGCCGUAAACGAUGAGUGCUAAGUGUUAGGGGGUUUCCGCCCCUUAGUGCUGCAGAUAACGCAUUAAGCACUCCGCCUGGGGAGUACGGUCGCAAGACUGAAACUCAAAGGAAUUGACGGGGGCCCGCACAAGCGGUGGAGCAUGUGGUUUAAUUCGAAGCAACGCGAAGAACCUUACCAGGUCUUGACAUCCUCUGACAAUCCUAGAGAUAGGACGUCCCCUUCGGGGGCAGAGUGACAGGUGGUGCAUGGUUGUUGUCAGCUCGUGUCGUGAGAUGUUGGGUUAAGUCCCGCAACGAGCGCAACCCUUGAUCUUAGUUGCCAGCAUUCAGUUGGGCACUCUAAGGUGACUGCCGGUGACAAACCGGAGGAAGGUGGGGAUGACGUCAAAUCAUCAUGCCCCUUAUGACCUGGGCUACACACGUGCUACAAUGGACAGAACAAAGGGCAGCGAAACCGCGAGGUUAAGCCAAUCCCACAAAUCUGUUCUCAGUUCGGAUCGCAGUCUGCAACUCGACUGCGUGAAGCAGGAAUCGCUAGUAAUCGCGGAUCAGCAUGCCGCGGUGAAUACGUUCCCGGGCCUUGUACACACCGCCCGUCACACCACGAGAGUUUGUAACACCCGAAGUCGGUGAGGUAACCUUUUAGGAGCCAGCCGCCGAAGGGGACA
This 979-nucleotide ribosomal RNA is filed under the name Bacillus amyloliquefaciens. RNAcentral's name for it is "bacterial SSU rRNA". It matches the Rfam family "Bacterial small subunit ribosomal RNA", at positions 491 to 1467 of the family's 1533-position model. The record is from RNAcentral. Lineage: Bacteria; Bacillati; Bacillota; Bacilli; Caryophanales; Bacillaceae.